RNAcentral lists this transfer RNA (50 nucleotides) under Hovenia dulcis (Japanese raisin tree). RNAcentral's name for it is "partial tRNA-Leu". Lineage: Eukaryota; Viridiplantae; Streptophyta; Magnoliopsida; Rosales; Rhamnaceae. The record is from RNAcentral.
UCGACGGAUUUUCCUCUUACUAUAAAUUUCAUUGUUGCCGAUAUUGACAU